AUUGAACGCUGGCGGCAUGCUUUACACAUGCAAGUCGAACGGCAGCACGGGAGCAAUCCUGGUGGCGAGUGGCGAACGGGUGAGUAAUACAUCGGAACGUGCCCAGUAGUGGGGGAUAGCCCGGCGAAAGCCGGAUGAAUACCGCAUACGACCUACGGGUGAAAGCGGGGGAUCGCAAGACCUCGCGCUAUUGGAGCGGCCGAUGUCAGAUUAGCUUGUUGGUGGGGUAAAAGCCUACCAAGGCAACGAUCUGUAGCUGGUCUGAGAGGGCGACCAGCCACACUGGGACUGAGACACGGCCCAGACUCCUACGGGAGGCAGCAGUGGGGAAUUUUGGACAAUGGGCGCAAGCCUGAUCCAGCCAUGCCGCGUGCGGGAAGAAGGCCUUCGGGUUGUAAACCGCUUUUGUCAGGGAAGAAACGGCCCCUUCUAAUACAGGGGGCUAAUGACGGUACCUGAAGAAUAAGCACCGGCUAACUACGUGCAGCCGCCGCCGUAA
Molecule: ribosomal RNA, 499 nt
Filed under: uncultured bacterium
Lineage: Bacteria
Description: partial 16S ribosomal RNA
Rfam family: Bacterial small subunit ribosomal RNA
Source: RNAcentral